Molecule: long non-coding RNA, 458 nt
Organism: Lactuca sativa (garden lettuce)
Lineage: Eukaryota; Viridiplantae; Streptophyta; Magnoliopsida; Asterales; Asteraceae
Source: RefSeq, a predicted model, not a curated record
UUCUCACUCACAAAAUAUGCCAUCAUCUUCCUCUUCUUCCCCUCUCUCUCUCUCUCUCUCAAUCUUGAUCUCUAUAUCCCUUUCUAUCUCCCUUAGAUUGAAUAACCACCAUUUCCACCACCUACUGUUGUCACAAGCUCCUCCGUCCAGCACCAAUCUUGCACCAUCACUACCAUAUUGGUGCCACCGAAACUAAAUUUUCUCGGAGAUUCAUAUUCACGGAAAUACUACUCGACCUUCUCGCAUCCAUUCCAGAACACUAAUCGUCUAUCGAACGUUAAGGUAGUGGCGCAUGAGCAUAGGUGUGAUGUUUUGGACGAGGGAUUACGGAUAUAGGCCUGUAGAUAUGAAAUAAUGUAGUAAGGCUUAUAUUGUACUGUUUAUGCUUUUGAUCUGUACGAACAUGACAUCCCGAGUCUUUUAAUGAAAUACAUUUCUAUGGAAAUGCUUUUGAUAAA